GGCUGAAACUCAAAGGAAUUGACGGGGGCUCACACAAGCGGUGGAGGAUGUGGCUUAAUUCGAGGAUACGCGAAGAACCUUAUCCUGGUCUUGACAUGUUUAGGAACCUCGGUGAAAGUCGAGGGUGCCCUUCGGGGAGCCUUUACACAGGUGCUGCAUGGCCGUCGUCAGCUCGUGUCGUGAGAUGUCGGGUUAAGUCCCUUAACGAGCGAAACCCCUAUCCUUAGUUGCCAGCAAUUCGGUUGGGGACUCUAGGGAGACUGCCGGUGUUAAACCGGAGGAAGGUGGGGACGACGUCAGGUCAUCAUGGCCUUUAUGACCAGGGCUGCACACGUCCUACAAUGGUGCGUACAAAGGGAAGCAAAGCAGUGAUGUGGAGCAAAUCCCAUAAAACGCGCCCCAGUUCGGAUUGCAGGCUGCAACUCGCCUGCAUGAAGCCGGAAUCGCUAGUAAUCGCGGGUCAGCAUACCGCGGUGAAUAUGUUCCUGAGCCUUGUACACACCGCCCGUCAAGCCACGAAAGUGGGGGGCACCCGAAGUCGCUGAGCUAACUUUUAGAAGCAGGCGCCGAAGGUGAACUCCGCAAUUGGGACUAAGUCGUAACAAGGUAGCCGUAGGGGAACCUGCGGCUGGAUCACCUCCUUUCUAAGGA
This 651-nucleotide ribosomal RNA is filed under the name Rhodopirellula sp. RNAcentral describes it as "bacterial SSU rRNA". It matches the Rfam family "Bacterial small subunit ribosomal RNA", at positions 892 to 1533 of the family's 1533-position model. The record is from RNAcentral. Lineage: Bacteria; Pseudomonadati; Planctomycetota; Planctomycetia; Pirellulales; Pirellulaceae.